This is a long non-coding RNA of Oncorhynchus gorbuscha (pink salmon), 1125 nucleotides long. RefSeq lists it as uncharacterized. The record is from RefSeq and is a predicted model, not a curated record. The transcript has 3 exons. NCBI's taxonomy places the organism in Eukaryota, Metazoa, Chordata, Actinopteri, Salmoniformes, Salmonidae.
CAAGUAGGAGUAGCACUAGUAUUUUUAGGAUUAAGUGAAAAUAGGGAGACAAUAUAUUUGUAUUAAGGGUUUAGUCUUUGAAUCGUGGAUUUGUGCAGAUUCCCUUGGCCUUCCUUCCUGUUUAACCUUUGAUGUCUGGUCUUGCUGUAGAGACUGAAUACAGCAAGAUUAUUGCCAGACUUUUUUUGUUUUCUUAACUAUUUUACGACGUAAUCAUUGACGAAACGAACUCCACUACAAAUACAAGCCUCUAUAGAAGCACCUCUGAUCCUUUUUUUGUUAGAAAUAAAAAGACAAAGAUGUUUUAUUUUCUAAGAGUAUGUAGUAGUAGCAUUAGUGAAAUAACCUACUAUGAUGGAUCAUAUUAUUAUUGUUAUCAGUGGGCUAUUGUUUUUGUUUUUUUGUUUUUUUGUGGAAAGAUUCAGAGACUGUAUCCAGACCUGCCUUGCUGUUACCAAUAUAUUCCUUUUUUUGUGGAAAGAUUUAGAGACUGUAUCCAGACCUGCCUUACUGUUACCAAUAUGUUCCUUUUUUGAACAGGGAGUUAUUCUACCGUAAACUAAGAUUAUUUUUACGUAUUUUUUAUUUUUUUUAAGGAUACUUCCACUGACAUUCUUAGAGCUGUCAUUUUAUUGUGAGGAACUGCAGUUCGAUCGGAAUAGUUUUUCUGUUUUCGUCCUCUGUUUUGUGAGUGACCCUCUCACUCAGUCAACUCGUCUCAGGGCACAAGUCUCCCCUUCUCCAGACACUGCGUAUGAAUCAGACUCCGUAGCUCGUUGUGACACGUGAGCCUCUGGAUGAAAAGCAGAGUAUCUCUAAAGCAGCGUGGUCCUAUCAGCCCCCCAUGUUGGACUAAACACUUUCAACUCUACACAAGUGAAAACCCCAAAUCCCUAAAGAUCCUCUAUUUGCCAAACUAGAGGGACAUGAAGUCUGACUCCAUCCUCAACAUGUGGACCUGCCCUGAGGAUGUUGGACACCACUGUUACACCUUCAGCCUUCGUUGAUUUCCUGUCAGACUGGUUGUUUUUCAACUACAUUCCACGGACGGACUGACCUGAACUUUUACCAGGACAGGAAUACAAUGUUCAACAGACUCCCUCCUCACCAGUGGGACUGACUACU